GCGAAGAACCUUACCUACUCUUGACAUCCAGAGAACUUAGCAGAGAUGGUUUGGUGCCUUCGGGAACUCUGAGACAGGUGCUGCAUGGCUGUCGUCAGCUCGUGUUGUGAAAUGUUGGGUUAAGUCCCGCAACGAGCGCAACCCUUAUCCUUUGUUGCCAGCGGUUCGGCCGGGAACUCAAAGGAGACUGCCAGUGAUAAACUGGAGGAAGGUGGGGAUGACGUCAAGUCAUCAUGGCCCUUACGAGUAGGGCUACACACGUGCUACAAUGGCGCAUACAAAGAGAAGCGACCUCGCGAGAGCAAGCGGACCUCAUAAAGUGCGUCGUAGUCCGGAUUGGAGUCUGCAACUCGACUCCAUGAAGUCGGAAUCGC
RNAcentral lists this ribosomal RNA (374 nucleotides) under uncultured bacterium. Its description in RNAcentral is "bacterial SSU rRNA". It matches the Rfam family "Bacterial small subunit ribosomal RNA", at positions 961 to 1335 of the family's 1533-position model. The record is from RNAcentral.